GUGCGCUUCAGCGGCACGUAUACAAAAAUCGAAACAACACAGGGAAGAUUAGCCUGGCCUCUGCACAAGGAUGACACGCAAAAAACAGUAUGUACAGCAUGAUCCC
Molecule: small nuclear RNA, 106 nt
Organism: Nycticebus coucang (slow loris)
Lineage: Eukaryota; Metazoa; Chordata; Mammalia; Primates; Lorisidae
Source: RefSeq, a predicted model, not a curated record